RNAcentral lists this long non-coding RNA (200 nucleotides) under Lathyrus oleraceus (garden pea). Its description in RNAcentral is "Pisum sativum (pea) long non-coding RNA (PSAT_LNC002327)". The record is from RNAcentral. Lineage: Eukaryota; Viridiplantae; Streptophyta; Magnoliopsida; Fabales; Fabaceae.
UGUUUGUUGGUCGAUUUUAGCGAAAGCUACACUGUAUUAAUCGACGAAAACAUUGUUUUAUCCUAAACAGAUGAGGAGUGGACGCAUACCACACAUCGAACGAAUUUAGAAAUCUACAUUCGGAAAAGCGUCAUUUAUCUCUACUCAACAAUCAUGGCCGAAACAUUGUUUUGCAUCACCUUAAGACAGUAUGUCCUUCA